CUUAAUCUGGUUUAGGCUGGACCUAGGCUGAAGCUGGACAUAAAUUUUGCAAUGCAAAAUGGUGAUUGCAGAUCGUGGACUUCCUUGCCUGUGUCUCCACAGUCCUAGACAUCUCUUCCCAUUUCAUGGUCUCCCUGGAAAAGAGCUUUGUCUAACAAGGCCUCAAGGAAGAAGUAUGUUGAGGCUGUGAACAUCUGCAUGAAGUAACUAUUUGCAAAGAGCAAUUUUUGAGGAAGGCUAAGUUCAGUGGUCCUAACAAACAACUGGUUUAUAAUUCUGUUGAGGAUACUCUUUGCAAAGUGACCUGUGACAAUUCCCCCAGUGUUUUAAUAGAGUUUUUGUAAAUCUCUACUUUCAAAAAACAGCAUGUAAAGAAGUGAAUCCCCUGAAGUUAUAGGAAGUUGCUUUCUGAGGAAAGAAGCAGCCCUCAAAAGAAAAGCAUUCUAACUGCUUUCUUGUACAAGGAUUUAGUCCAUUUCACCAGAAGACAAGCUUGAUUUGUUCAACAAAAUAAGGGAAAUGCCCAGUUAGAGAGAGGGGGUUUCUCAUCUUGCCUUAAACAUUAGUUUAGACAGAAAUUCUCACCUGGUAAAAAUCAGUAUUGUCGGUACAUCUGCAGUAACUGAAGUUUAAUAAUUUCAAAAUAAUUUAAUAAUUUCAAAAAAAAAGUUGAGUUGAACAUAAACUAACUCAAAUAAUAAAUUCAAAUAGUUGUAUGUUAUUUGAAUUCUU
This 732-nucleotide long non-coding RNA is filed under the name Cyanistes caeruleus (blue tit). Its description in RNAcentral is "lncRNA (ENSCCEG00000004492.1)". The record is from RNAcentral. Lineage: Eukaryota; Metazoa; Chordata; Aves; Passeriformes; Paridae.